AUACCAGGAACUAACAUAGUGUUGUAAGCCAAUUAUACUUCAAAAACAAACUUAGUAAAAGACAGCAGAUUUGUGGUUACCAAAGGGUGAUGGGGGUGGAGCCGGGUGGAGUCAGAUGAAGGUAGUUGAAAGGCAAAAACUUGCAGUUCCAAGGUAAAUAAGUACUAGGGAUGUAAUGUACAGCAUGAUAAAUAUAAUUCCUACUGCUACACAUUUUAUUUCAAAGUUGUUAAGAAUAAAUCCUGAGUUCUCAUAACAAGGAAAAAAAAUAUAUGAUUUCUUUAAUUUUGUAUUUAUAAUGUUUACUAAACUUAAUGUGAUAAUUAUUUCAUGAUGUCUGUAAGUCAGAUCGCUAUGCUGUAUGCAUGACAGAAACUUUAUAUAUAGUGCUAUUUGUCAAUUAUAGCUCAAUUAAACUGAAAGAAAAAAAAAGUUAUCCUUGUCUCCAGGAGCACUGGUGAGUCUCUGAAGUUUAUAUCAAGUUGUCUAGCUUCAGCUUGAAGGGCUUUGGAAAAAGCAGUUUUUGUUUUUUGUGAUUCCAAGUCAGAAAGGUGAGAGGAAAUUGUAAAUGUUAGUUUGGGGAGUCAUAGCUAGAUAUUGGAGAAAAACUAGAAGAAUUUCAGGAUCCAGUGUGGUUUACAAGUAGAUAACACAACCUCAAAGACAGUAGAAUUUGAUAGCCACAAAAGUGUGCUGCUAAUACAUAACUUUUUCCUCUGUAGUCAUCUCUAUUUCUACCAAAGAUAAUCACGGUAGAACUAAUUGGUUUGCAAUAUAAGUCUAGUCUCAUUAAACUUGGCUUGAUUAUUUACAUAAGUGCAGCAAGCGUAGAAACUGACCAUAUAGAUUUUAAAAUCUGCUUCACUGGAACUUUUUAGAGGGAAUCUCAGACUUUUAAAAGCCUCUCAAGCCUAGGAAGCCAAGCCAAGUUCUUGCCAUCAGAUUUCUCCUGCAGUGCUCAUAGAUUUGAGUGAAUUCCUCUCUUUUCUCUUCUUGAGGUCCCCAAGAAAUCCUGAGGUUCUUGGCCUACCAGGAAAUGACCUUCCUUACUCACCUGAUUUGGCUGGGAACUCUGAAAGCAAAAUGCCAGGUUUUUUGUUUGUUUGUUUUUUGUUUUUGGAAGGGGCCUCACUGGCUCAAUAAAGUCAAUCUUAGUUCCUUAAAGCUGAUAUUAUGGACAUCUUUCUCAAAUAUGAUAGUCCAGUCAAACUUUGGCAAUAUAGCCAAAGUUGUAUCCUAUUACAAAGAGCAAAUUCCUAUUGAACUUAUGCAAAUAACUGUAUUGCCAUGAAAUUAAGACUAUACACUAUGAGUUUCUAAAUUCUGGCAGAAAAAAAUAAAUUUUUAUUUAUUUGUUUUUUUUAGGACUACAUGUGUGGCAUUUGGACAUUCCCAGGCUAUGGGUGAAUUGGAGCUACAGCUGCCAGCCUAUACCACAGCCACAGCAACCAGGGGUCCAAGCCAUGUCUGCAAACUACACCAUGGCUCACAGCAAUGCCAAAUCCCCAACCCUCUGAGUGAGGCCAGGGAUGGAACCUGCAUCCUCAUGGAUACUAGUUGGAUUCAUUUAUACUGCACCACCACAGUAACCCCAAUGUUUUAAUUCUAUUUACAAAGGUAUGCUUUACCAAAUUGCUUCAAGUUAUAGAAAGCUUAAGAGAAAAGGUUUCCUUAAAUCUGUUAAAAUGUUAAAAAACCAGCAUUGUUUCUGACAAAAACUCAUAAAAAUUAAAACCAUUCUCAUCAUUUUCUCAAUUCCAUGUAAUUCUUGUUUUGCUUGAUCUAGAGUUUAGUAGUUUCCUGAAUCCAUUUAUUUUUUUCCAUUAGGGUUCUAGAAAUUAUUACCUUGUUCAAUGGUAUGAUCUUAAAGUUAUUUGAAGUCUGUAUGCUAGAGUACUUGUCAGAAUAAAACAAUAGCUAUUGUUAAAUGACAGGAGACUUAAAAAUGGCCGUGGGUAAAGAUUUAGUAAGAGUUUAUUCUAAUGCAGUUGACAAGGAAAUUUGGUUAAUUCUGUGAUACUCAAAUUUUAGGAUGAUAAUAUCCCACCUCCCAAGCUGGCAACAGUCAGUAGCAUGCUAGCUGCACAUGAGGUGCAGUGCACGUUUCCCUCUGGCCAUAUUCUUGCAGCCCCCAACCUGACAGCUGAGCUGCUGGCACACACAAGAAUCAAUAACUUGAUGCCUGGGCAGCAGAAAGCCAAGUCAGAUUCUCAGGACACAAGACAAAUAGGAAAAUAAUAGCUGUCGCUGAGAAGGCGAGGAUCAAUAACCAGUGGGUACACCAAAACCAGUUCAUAGGUGUCACGAUUCAGAGAACUGAUUUUUACAAAUGCUCUCUCUUGCUAAUCAGAAUUUGUAAAGGAAGGGACUGUGAAAUUUUACCUUCCUCUCUCUAGUCUCCUCUCCUGUGAUUAAUAGUUAAUCCUCCUUGGUUGAUGAAUUUCCUCUGGGGAGGGAUUUAUGACAGUUGAGUUCCUUUUAGAGGAUGUAUCUUUAAGCAGAUAAGUGAAUUUCAGAGAAGGCCUCCCUGCAUUUGAAUACCUACAGCUCAAAAUAAUCACUAUGCCAAAGUGGCAUAUUUUGGGGAUAGCAGAUUCUGCGUCCAGUGACCCCCUUUUAUAAAUGAGAAUAUCAAAGUUCAGACAAAUCAAAUAACUGGCCCUAGGUCUUACAUACAUUCUUUGGGCUGCCUCAGUUAUAUGUGAAAUAGAUAUAAUUUGUAUCUUCCAAUGUGUCUUUCACUCAGUAAGAAAUCAAUAUGUUGAAUGAAUGACUGAAUAGAUAUUAGAAUCAACUGAAAGGACCUCUUUUUUUUUUUUUUUUUUUUUGCAAUUUGAUCACCUAAUUUUAUGUCUUUUGAAUCAAAUAAGAAUAGUAAACACUGGGCCUUAUUUUGCAUGUUUCUUAACAUUUCAUUUUUCUAGUAAUUCAUUUAUUUUUUUUUAAUUUAUUUUUUAUUGUUAUUUCCCCCAACACACUUUUUUUUUUUCCCCACUGUACAGCAUGGGGGCCAAGUUACAAAAACAUGUAUACAUAAUUUUUUCUCCCAUUGUUGUGCUAUGUUGUAAGUAUCUAGACAUAGUUCUCAGUGCUACACAGCAGGAUCUCAUUAUAAAUUCAUUCCAUGAGCAGUAGUUUGCAUGGAUCUCUCCCUUAAAGCCCAGUCUUUUCCUUUGGUAGCUAUGAAGUAUAACUUUCAAGUUUCUUUCCCGUUCCUAAAAGUUUUAGAGAGUGAAGUGUCUCUUUGAUAAUCUUUGUGUGUGUAUGUGUGUGUGAGAGAGAGAGAGAAAGAGAGCGAGAGAUUGCAAAAAACUUAAGAGCAAAUUGUAGACCCGUCUGGGUAACUGAAGUAGCUUGAACAUCAUCACACUGGUCAUUAAUAAUGUGUGUAUGAAUUUAUUAUUAAAGUUCAGAUCAGAAUGAAUUGGUAGCUUAAUGUUAGAUUUCAACCCUUUAAAAAGUAAAAGUAUCAUAAGUAUGUUCAUGUUAAUUGUCUUCUUUAAUAAAGAAUGAAGUGCUACAGUUAUAUAUAUUUUAAUGAUUUUUGUUAUGUCUUUUGCUAUGUAAAUUUGAGAAUGGUAUAUAAAUGAGAGUUUAUUUUAUUUUAUUCAUUCCUUUUUUUCUUUUUAUGGCUGCAUUGGCAGCAUGUGGAAGUUCCAAGGCGAGGGGUUGAAUCGGAGGUGUAGCUGCCGGCCUACGCCACUGCCACAGCAAAACAGGAUCCAAGACGCAUCUGCAAGUUAUACUACAGCUCACAGCAAUGCCGGAUCCUUAACCCGCUGAGCAAGGCUAGGGAUGGAACCUGCGUCCUCAUGGAUACUAAUCAGAUUCAUUUCCCCUGAGCCACAACAGAACUCCAAGAAACUUUACUUUGUAUCUGAGCUCUGGCAUGUUAUGCAAAUCAAGUUAUAGACUUAAUAGCUUUGAUUCGACCCCUAGCCUGGGAACCUCCACAUGCUGCGGUAGGAACCCUAGAAAAGGCGACAAGACAAAAAAAGAAAAAAAAAAAA
RNAcentral lists this long non-coding RNA (4010 nucleotides) under Sus scrofa (pig). Its description in RNAcentral is "lncRNA (ENSSSCG00015019850.1)". Lineage: Eukaryota; Metazoa; Chordata; Mammalia; Artiodactyla; Suidae. The record is from RNAcentral.